Favolaschia claudopus is the source of this 124-nucleotide non-coding RNA. The record is from the annotation of a GenBank genome assembly. Lineage: Eukaryota; Fungi; Basidiomycota; Agaricomycetes; Agaricales; Mycenaceae.
GGCGAGAUGGCCGAGCGGUCUAAGGCGCCAGACUAAGGAUCCGCUUCAUUUGAAGCACAACUUGCAGACUUCAUCGUUUGUAAUCUGGUCUUUCGGGGCGUGGGUUCGAAUCCCACUCUCGUCA